UCUGACGAUGGUUUCGGAGGCCAUUCCGCUUGCUGUGGAAAAUCGAUGCGGUGACUGGCGGACGGGUGAAGCUUUGCCGUUUAACCUACCUUAUACUAUCGGAUAACAGCGGUAAAUGACGGCUAAUACCGCAUAAACCGAUAGGGUCGCAUGACGCAAACGGCGCGUCUCCGGCGGGUUAGCAUGGACGCUCGUCUGAUUAGCCGGUUGGUGCUGAAAGGGCUACCGAAGCGAUGAGCACGACCCGACUGGGUAGGGUGAGCGGCCAGAGUGGGACUGAAACCCGGCCCAAACUCUAACGGGAGGCAGCAGUGGGGAAUAUUGCACAAUGGGGGAAACCCUGAUGCAGCGACGCCGCGUGAGUGAAGAAGUAUUUCGGUAUGUAAAGCUCUAUCAGCAGGGAAGAAAUUGACGGUACCUGACUAAGAAGCCCCGGCUAACUACGUGCCAGCAGCCGCGGUAAUACGUAGGGGGCAAGCGUUAUCCGGAUUUACUGGGUGUAAAGGGAGCGUAGACGGCAUGGCAAGUCAGAUGUGAAAACCCGGGGCUUAACCCCGGGAUUGCAUUUGAAACUGUCAGGCUGGA
RNAcentral lists this ribosomal RNA (585 nucleotides) under uncultured Ruminococcus sp. RNAcentral describes it as "bacterial SSU rRNA". It matches the Rfam family "Bacterial small subunit ribosomal RNA", at positions 58 to 645 of the family's 1533-position model. The record is from RNAcentral. Lineage: Bacteria; Bacillati; Bacillota; Clostridia; Eubacteriales; Oscillospiraceae.